RNAcentral lists this ribosomal RNA (490 nucleotides) under uncultured bacterium. RNAcentral describes it as "partial 16S ribosomal RNA". It matches the Rfam family "Bacterial small subunit ribosomal RNA", at positions 29 to 507 of the family's 1533-position model. The record is from RNAcentral.
AGUGAACGCUGGCGGUAGGCCUAACACAUGCAAGUCGAACGGCAGCACAGGAGAGCUUGCUCUCUAGGUGGCGAGUGGCGGACGGGUGAGGAAUACAUCGGAAUCUGCCCAGUCGUGGGGGAUAACGUAGGGAAACUUACGCUAAUACCGCAUACGACCUUCGGGUGAAAGAGGGGGAUCGCAAGACCUCUCGCGAUUGGAUGAGCCGAUGUCGGAUUAGCUAGUUAGCGGGGUAAUGGCCCACCAAGGCGACGAUCCGUAGCUGGUCUGAGAGGAUGGUCAGCCACACUGGAACUGAGACACGGUCCAGACUCCUACGGGAGGCAGCAGUGGGGAAUAUUGGACAAUGGGCGCAAGCCUGAUCCAGCCAUACCGCGUGGGUGAAGAAGGCCUUCGGGUUGUAAAGCCCUUUUGUUGGGAAAGAAAUCUUUCAGGCUAAUACCCUGGGAGGAUGACGGUACCCAAAGAAUAAGCACCGGCUAACUUCGUG